CUACGGGUGGCUGCAGCAGGGAAUAUUGCACAAUGGACGGAAGUCUGAUGCAGCGACGCCGCGUGGAUGAUGAAGGCCCUCGGGUUGUAAAAUCCUUUUCAGGGGGACGAGGAAGGACGGUACCCUUGGAAUAAGCGUCGGCUAACUACGUGCCAGCAGCCGCGGUAAGACGUAGGACGCAAGCGUUAUCCGGAUUUACUGGGCGUAAAGCGUCUGUAGGCGGAAUGGUAAGUUGGACGUGAAAGCUCCGGGCUCAACUCGGAGAGGUCGUUCAAUACUGCCAAACUAGGGGGCAUCAGAGGAGCGUGGAAUUUCCGGUGUAGCGGUAAAAUGCGCAGAUAUCGGAAGGAACACCAAUGGCGAAGGCAGCGCUCUGGGAUGAACCUGACGCUAAGAGACGAAAGCUAGGGGAGCGAACAGGAUUAGAUACCCCAGUAGUC
This 440-nucleotide ribosomal RNA is filed under the name uncultured bacterium. Its description in RNAcentral is "partial 16S ribosomal RNA". It matches the Rfam family "Bacterial small subunit ribosomal RNA", at positions 339 to 795 of the family's 1533-position model. The record is from RNAcentral.